AAAUCUCUCGACCUUUCUCUGAACGCGAAAGCUGUUUCGAGGAUGUCGGAUAUGGACCCUGUGACUUCUUCAAGAAGACACUGGUGCUUAAAGACAGUUCGAUUUCAAUUCGCUUGGGUUGAUCCUUCAUUACCCUAUAGAGUUGAACUUGUGAUAGAUGGAAAAGGUUGUAUUACCUUCUUACAUGUCGCAUGGUUCUUAACCCUAUGAUUUUGAGGGGUCCCCGAUCGUUUUAUUCCUUUUCACGUCACUGUGAUACGGGAUGAAACGAUUCUGUCGAAUUAUGAAAAACCAUUUUUAAUGACCAGCCUCUUGUUAUGAGAGUGCUCGGAA
RNAcentral lists this unclassified non-coding RNA (333 nucleotides) under uncultured Rhizophlyctidales. RNAcentral's name for it is "sequence contains ITS2". Lineage: Eukaryota; Fungi; Chytridiomycota; Chytridiomycetes; Rhizophlyctidales. The record is from RNAcentral.